This 510-nucleotide ribosomal RNA is filed under the name uncultured bacterium. RNAcentral describes it as "partial 16S ribosomal RNA". It matches the Rfam family "Bacterial small subunit ribosomal RNA", at positions 28 to 507 of the family's 1533-position model. The record is from RNAcentral.
GACGAACGCUGGCGGCGUGCUUAACACAUGCAAGUCGAACGAAGAGCGAUGGAAGCUUGCUUCUAUCAAUCUUAGUGGCGAACGGGUGAGUAACGCGUAAUCAACCUGCCCUUCAGAGGGGGACAACAGUUGGAAACGACUGCUAAUACCGCAUACGAUCUAAUCUCGGCAUCGAGGAUAGAUGAAAGGUGGCCUCUACAUGUAAGCUAUCACUGAAGGAGGGGAUUGCGUCUGAUUAGCUAGUUGGAGGGGUAACGGCCCACCAAGGCGAUGAUCAGUGGCCGGUCUGAGAGGAUGAACGGCCACAUUGGGACUGAGACACGGCCCAGACUCCUACGGGAGGCAGCAGUGGGGAAUCUUCCGCAAUGGACGAAAGUCUGACGGAGCAACGCCGCGUGAGUGAUGGCGGCCUUCGGGUUGUAAAGCUCUGUUAAUCGGGACGAAAGGCAUUCUUGCGAAUAGUGAGAAGGAUUGACGGUACCGGAAUAGAAAGCCACGGCUAACUACGUG